Molecule: ribosomal RNA, 1158 nt
Filed under: uncultured Verrucomicrobiota bacterium
Lineage: Bacteria; Pseudomonadati; Verrucomicrobiota
Description: bacterial SSU rRNA
Rfam family: Bacterial small subunit ribosomal RNA
Source: RNAcentral
AGUUUCGAAUCAUUCACAAUGGGCGAAAGCCUGAUGGUGCGACGCCGCGUGAGGGAUGAAGGCCUUCGGGUUGUAAACCUCUGUCACCGGGGAAGAAACGUCAUAUGUUAAGAGCAUAUGGCCUGACUUAACCCGGAGAGGAAGCAGUGGCUAACUCUGUGCCAGCAGCCGCGGUAAUACAGAGACUGCAAGCGUUAUUCGGAUUCACUGGGCGUAAAGGGUGCGCAGGCGGCCAGGUGUGUCAGGUGUGAAAUCCCGGGGCUUAACCCCGGAACUGCGCCUGAAACUAUUUGGCUAGAGUAUCGGAGAGGGUAGCGGAAUUCACGGUGUAGCAGUGAAAUGCGUAGAUAUCGUGAGGAACACCAGAGGCGAAGGCGGCUACCUGGACGAUGACUGACGCUCAGGCACGAAAGCGUGGGGAGCAAAAGGGAUUAGAUACCCCUGUAGUCCACGCCCUAAACGGUGCAUACUAGGUCUUGGAGGAUUCGAUCCCUUCAGGGCCCAAGCUAACGCGUUAAGUAUGCCGCCUGAGGACUACGGCCGCAAGGCUAAAACUCAAAGGAAUUGACGGGGGCCCGCACAAGCGGUGGAGUAUGUGGCUUAAUUCGAUGCAACGCGAAGAACCUUACCUGGCCUUGGCAUGCUUUGGACCGGCGCUGAAAGGCGCCUUCUCUUCGGAGCCGGAGCACAGGUGCUGCAUGGCUGUCGUCAGCUCGUGUCGUGAGAUGUUGCGUUAAGUCGCGCAACGAGCGCAACCCCUGUCCUUAGUUGCCAGCAUUCAGUUGGGCACUCUAGGGAGACAAACCCUCUUUGAGGGUGGGAAGGUGGGGAUGACGUCAAGUCAGGAUGGCCCUUACGGCCAGGGCUGCACACGUACUACAAUGCCUGACACAGAGGGAUGCAAUACCGCGAGGUGGAGCAAAUCCUGAAAAUCAGGCCCAGUUCGGAUUGUAGUCUGCAACUCGACUACAUGAAGUUGGAAUCGCUAGUAAUGGCGCAUCAGCUACGGCGCCGUGAAUACGUUCCCGGGCCUUGUACACACCGCCCGUCACAUCAUGAAAGCCGGUUUUGCCCGAAGUAUGUUUGCCAACCAGCAAUGGGGGCGGCGUCCUAAGGUGAGGCUGGUGAUUGGGAUGAAGUCGUAACAAGGUAACCGUA